GUGGGGAAUAUUGGACAAUGGGCGAAAGCCUGAUCCAGCAAUGCCGCGUGAGUGAUGAAGGCCUUAGGGUUGUAAAGCUCUUUUACCAGGGAUGAUAAUGACAGUACCUGGAGAAUAAGCUCCGGCUAACUCCGUGCCAGCAGCCGCGGUAAUACGGAGGGAGCUAGCGUUGUUCGGAAUUACUGGGCGUAAAGCGCGCGUAGGCGGUUACUCAAGUCAGAGGUGAAAGCCCGGGGCUCAACCCCGGAACUGCCUUUGAAACUAGGUGACUAGAAUCUUGGAGAGGUCAGUGGAAUUCCGAGUGUAGAGGUGAAAUUCGUAGAUAUUCGGAAGAACACCAGUGGCGAAGGCGACUGACUGGACAAGUAUUGACGCUGAGGUGCGAAAGCGUGGGGAGCAAACAGG
Molecule: ribosomal RNA, 405 nt
Filed under: uncultured Novosphingobium sp.
Lineage: Bacteria; Pseudomonadati; Pseudomonadota; Alphaproteobacteria; Sphingomonadales; Sphingomonadaceae
Description: bacterial SSU rRNA
Rfam family: Bacterial small subunit ribosomal RNA
Source: RNAcentral